AGAAGAAAAAUAAACAUAUCAGCAGCACAUCUCUGCAAGCAGAAAAUAUCUCCAGGGAAGCAAUCAAUCUGAAGCCUUGAUACAGAAGGAGAGCCGGUGGCAUUUAUUUCAUCAAGGCUGGAGGAAGACCUAAAGCCUACCACUGACCCUCUACAUCUUCAUUUCCUCAUCCAUAAGGCUGACUUAAAUGUGAGAAAUCUGAGGCUUAGAUGGAUUGACUAUCUCACCUCAUGUCAUAAGCAUAAUGAAUGGAUUAUUCUGAUUCAAGCCCAGAUCUCUUUGACUCCCAAAACGCAUCUCUUCCAACCACAGGAUUCUGCUGGUUAUACUACUUUUUAAAAUGAAUGCCACCAUUUAUUUUUCUCCUUGCUGCAUCAAAACUCCAGACACACAUUUAACCAACCAUCUACUCACAUCUUUUAUUAUCAAACUACUAGACAAUAUACCAUUUUAAAAGACCAAUUCCUCACUCCACAGUUAAAUAAAAUGUUUCAAAAAACCCAGGAAACAUGGCCAAUGUCUACCCAGAUUCCCACUCCAACUCUGUGCUGUGGUAUGGAGUUAGCAGCCCAGGAGCAGUGCUGAUAUUAGAAGUGGUCACAGAGGCCUUGAAAGGGAAAGCGACUUUAUUAUUAGAUAGCUGGGAUGGAAGACAGACUCUAAUCUGUACCCUUCCUACAUAUGACUGAAGGUGAAGUUCCUAUUGGAGCUCAGUGGGUUAAGAACCUAACAUAGUGUCCAUGAGCAUGUGGGU
Phacochoerus africanus (Common warthog) is the source of this 754-nucleotide long non-coding RNA. RefSeq lists it as uncharacterized. The transcript has 3 exons. Lineage: Eukaryota; Metazoa; Chordata; Mammalia; Artiodactyla; Suidae. The record is from RefSeq and is a predicted model, not a curated record.